UCCCAAUAUAUAUAGCAGUGUGUCUCUCA
Molecule: non-coding RNA, 29 nt
Filed under: Mus musculus (house mouse)
Lineage: Eukaryota; Metazoa; Chordata; Mammalia; Rodentia; Muridae
Source: RNAcentral